This 343-nucleotide unclassified non-coding RNA is filed under the name soil metagenome. RNAcentral's name for it is "partial contains 5.8S ribosomal RNA, internal transcribed spacer 2, and large subunit ribosomal RNA". The stretch from base 1 to 120 matches the Rfam family "5.8S ribosomal RNA", at positions 35 to 154 of the family's 154-position model. The record is from RNAcentral.
GAUGAAGAACGCAGCGAAAUGCGAUAAGUAAUGUGAAUUGCAGAAUUCAGUGAAUCAUCGAAUCUUUGAACGCACAUUGCGCCCGCUAGUAUUCUGGCGGGCAUGCCUGUCCGAGCGUCAUUUCAACCCUCAAGCCCCCGGGCUUGGUGUUGGGGAUCGGCGAGCCUCCGCGCCCGCCGUCCCCUAAAUCUAGUGGCGGUCUCGCUGUAGCUUCCUCUGCGUAGUAGCACACCUCGCACUGGGAAACAGCGCGGCCACGCCGUUAAACCCCCAACUUCUGAACGUUUGACCUCGGAUCAGGUACGAAUACCCGCUGAACUUAAGCAUAUCAAUAAGCGGAGGA